This is a long non-coding RNA of Gorilla gorilla gorilla (western lowland gorilla), 1725 nucleotides long. RefSeq lists it as uncharacterized. Lineage: Eukaryota; Metazoa; Chordata; Mammalia; Primates; Hominidae. The transcript is spliced from 3 exons. The record is from RefSeq and is a predicted model, not a curated record.
UUUUCUCCUUGACUAAAAAUUUACGCUCUGGCAACACCAAAAUGUUUGUAUACCACCCAUCCCCCACCCUGCUGACAUCACAAUGCUUGUUUCUCUUGCUUUGUUUCUUUGCUUAUGUUGUUCUCACUGCCUGAAAUGUUCCCUUCCACUCCAUCACCAAUACCACAAUUCCCCCAUCACCAGCAUCUCUUUCUCUCUGUUGUUACUCACACUUUAGCCCUUACUCCCAGCCAGUCAUUAAACUUCACAUUCAGUAAGAGCUCACAUGUGUCAAGCCUCCUGAUGCAGCUGCUGCUCCAGUACUUCUACAAGCCGCUCUCACACCAGUUUAUGCCACAGGGGGCCUCCCAGCAGACUUUUAUUACUGAGGCCUGCUCAGUGAGUAGAUGGCCUUCAUGACUGGGACUCCAGUAAGUUGGCUCACAGGAGACUCAUCUAAAACACAAGGACUCACAUAAACUUAAAGGGUAGAAAAAUAUAUUCUACGCAAAUGUACACCAAAAGCAAGCAAAAGUAGCUAUUAUUAUAUCAUAUGAAACAAACUUUAAAGCAACAGCUGUUAAAAAAGACAAAGAGGGACAUUAUACAAUGAUAAAAGGACUAGUCCGACAGGAAAAUAUCGCAAUUCUACAUAUAUAUGCACCUAACACUGGAGCUCCCAAAUUUAUAAAACAAUUACUACUCGACCUAAGAAAUGAGAUAGAUGGCAACACAAUAAUAGUGGGAGACUUUAAUAGACCACUGACAGCACUAGACAGGUCAUCAAGACAGAAAGUCAACAAAGAAACAAUGGAUUUAAAUUAUACCUUUGAACAAAUGGAUUUAACAGAUAUUUACAGAACAUUCUACCCAACAAUUACAGAAUAUACAUUUUAUUGAUCAACACAUAGAACAUUCUCCAAGAAAAACCAUCUGAUAGGCUACCAAACAAGCCUCAGUACAUUUAAGAAAAUUGAAAUUAUAUCAAGUAUUCUCUCAGACCACAGUGGAAUAAAAUUGGAAAUCAACUCCAAAAGGAACUCUCAAAACCAUGGAAAUACAUGGAACUUAAAUAACCUGCUCCUGAAUGAUCAUUGGGUCAACAAUGAAAUCAAGAUGGAAAUUAAAACAUUCUUUGAACUGAAUAAUAAUAGCUACACAACAUAUCAAAAUCUCUGGGAUAAAGCAAAACCAGUGCUAAGAUGAAAGUUCAUAGCAUUAAAUGCCUACAUCAAAAAGUCUGAAAGAGCACAAAUAGACAAUCUAAGGUCACACCUCAUGGAACUAGAGAAACAAGAACAAUCCAAACCCAAACCCAGCAGAAUAAAAGAAAUAACAAAGAUCAGAGCAGAACCAAAUGAACUGAAACAACAACAAUGAAAACAAUACAAAAGAUACAUGAAGGAAAAAUCUGGUUCUUUGAAAAGAUAAAUUGAUAGACUAUUAGUGAGAUUAACAAAGAAGAGAGACAACCCAAAUAAUCUCAAUUAGAAAUGAAACAAGAGAUAUUACAAGUGAUGCCACAGAAACACAAAAGAUUUUUCGAGGCUGCUAUGAACACCUUUAUGUGCAUAAAUUAGAAAACCUAGAGGAGAUGGAUAAACUCCUGGAAAUAUACAACCCUCCUAGAUUAAACCAGGAAGAUAUAGAAUCUCUGAACAGACCAAUAACAAGCAGCGAGAUUGAAAUGGUAAUUAAAAAAUUGCCAACAAAAAAAAGUCAAGGACCAGAUGGAUUCACAGCAGA